AACGAACGCUGGCGGCAGGCCUAACACAUGCAAGUCGAACGCUCCGCAAGGGGAGUGGCGGACGGGUGAGUAACACGUGGGAACCUACCUCGAGGUGCGGAGCAACCAAGGGAAACUUUGGCUAAUACCGCAUGUGCCCUUAGGGGGAAAGAUUUAUCGCCUUGGGAUGGGCCCGCGUCGGAUUAGCUAGUUGGUGUGGUAAUGGCGCACCAAGGCGACGAUCCGUAGCUGGUCUGAGAGGAUGAUCAGCCACACAGGGACUGAGACACGGCCCAGACUCCUACGGGAGGCAGCAGUGGGGAAUAUUGGACAAUGGGCGCAAGCCUGAUCCAGCCAUGCCGCGUGUGUGAUGAAGGCCUUAGGGUUGUAAAGCACUUUCGCCGAUGAAGAUAAUGACUGUAGUCGGAGAAGAAGCCCCGGCUAACUUCGUGUCCAGCAGCCGCGGUAAU
Molecule: ribosomal RNA, 449 nt
Filed under: uncultured bacterium
Lineage: Bacteria
Description: bacterial SSU rRNA
Rfam family: Bacterial small subunit ribosomal RNA
Source: RNAcentral